Molecule: ribosomal RNA, 453 nt
Filed under: uncultured Bacteroides sp.
Lineage: Bacteria; Pseudomonadati; Bacteroidota; Bacteroidia; Bacteroidales; Bacteroidaceae
Description: partial 16S ribosomal RNA
Rfam family: Bacterial small subunit ribosomal RNA
Source: RNAcentral
ACGGAAGGUAGCAGUGAGGAAUAUUGGUCAAUGGUCGUAGGACUGAACCAGCCAAGUAGCGUGAAGGAAGACUGCCCUAUGGGUUGUAAACUUCUUUUAUACGGGAAUAAAAAAGACCACGUGUGGUUUAUUGCAUGUACCGUAUGAAUAAGGAUCGGCUAAUUCCGUGCCAGCAGCCGCGGUAAUACGGAAGAUCCGAGCGUUAUCCGGAUUUAUUGGGUUUAAAGGGAGCGUAGGCGGGCUUUUAAGUCAGUGCUCAAAGCGUGUGGCUCAACCAUACCACGGCAUUGAUACUGGAGGCCUUGAGUGCACAUAAGGAUGGUGGAAUUCGUCGUGUAGCGGUGAAAUGCUUAGAUAUGACGAAGAACUCCGAUUGCGAAGGCAGCUGUCCGGGGUGUAACUGACGCUAAUGCUCGAAAGUGCGGGUAUCAAACAGGAUUAGAUACCCUGGUA